RNAcentral lists this unclassified non-coding RNA (254 nucleotides) under Planctomycetota bacterium. Its description in RNAcentral is "Planctomycetes bacterium contains 16S-23S intergenic spacer region". It matches the Rfam family "Bacterial small subunit ribosomal RNA", at positions 524 to 776 of the family's 1533-position model. The record is from RNAcentral. Lineage: Bacteria; Pseudomonadati; Planctomycetota.
GACGAAGGUGGCAACCGUUGUUCGGAAUCACUGGGCAUAAAGAGCACGUAGGCGGGUGUGUAAGUCGGGUGUGAAAUCCCUACGGCCUAACCGAGGAACUGCGCCCGAUACUGCACAUCUUGAGGACAGAAGGGGAGCGUGGAAUUCCUGGUGGAGCGGUGAAAUGCGUUGAUAUCAGGAGGAACACCGGCGGCGAAGGCGACGCUCUGGUCUGUAACUGACGCUGAGGUGCGAAAGCUAGGGGAGCAAACAGG